This 253-nucleotide ribosomal RNA is filed under the name uncultured bacterium. Its description in RNAcentral is "partial 16S ribosomal RNA". It matches the Rfam family "Bacterial small subunit ribosomal RNA", at positions 524 to 776 of the family's 1533-position model. The record is from RNAcentral.
UACGGAGGAUGCAAGCGUUAUCCGGAUUCAUUGGGUUUAAAGGGUGCGUAGGCGGGAUGGUAAGUCAGGGGUGAAAGCCAGCAGCUCAACUGUUGAAUUGCCUUUGAUACUGCCAUUCUUGAGUGUGUUUGAAGUGGGCGGAAUGUGACAUGUAGCGGUGAAAUGCGUAGAUAUGUCACAGAACACCGAUUGCGAAGGCAGCUCACUAAGCCAUUACUGACGCUGAGGCACGAAAGCGUGGGGAGCAAACAGG